Molecule: ribosomal RNA, 494 nt
Filed under: uncultured bacterium
Lineage: Bacteria
Description: partial 16S ribosomal RNA
Rfam family: Bacterial small subunit ribosomal RNA
Source: RNAcentral
GAACGCUGGCGGCGUGCCUAAUACAUGCAAGUCGAGCGAACAGACGAGGAGCUUGCUCCUCUGACGAUAGCGGCGGACGGGUGAGUAACACGUGGAUAACCUACCUAUAAGACUGGGAUAACUUCGGGAAACCGGAGCUAAUACCGGAUAAUAUAUUGAACCGCAUGGUUCAAUAGUGAAAGACGGUUUUGCUGUCACUUAUAGAUGGAUCCGCGCCGCAUUAGCUAGUUGGUAAGGUAACGGCUUACCAAGGCGACGAUGCGUAGCCGACCUGAGAGGGUGAUCGGCCACACUGGAACUGAGACACGGUCCAGACUCCUACGGGAGGCAGCAGUAGGGAAUCUUCCGCAAUGGGCGAAAGCCUGACGGAGCAACGCCGCGUGAGUGAUGAAGGUCUUCGGAUCGUAAAACUCUGUUAUUAGGGAAGAACAAAUGUGUAAGUAACUAUGCACGUCUUGACGGUACCUAAUCAGAAAGCCACGGCUAACUACGUG